This 425-nucleotide ribosomal RNA is filed under the name uncultured bacterium. Its description in RNAcentral is "partial 16S ribosomal RNA". It matches the Rfam family "Bacterial small subunit ribosomal RNA", at positions 354 to 796 of the family's 1533-position model. The record is from RNAcentral.
GUGGGGAAUAUUGGGCAAUGGGCGAAAGCCUGACCCAGCAACGCCGCGUGAAGGAAGAAGGUUUUCGGAUCGUAAACUUCUAUCCUUGGUGAAGAUAAUGACGGUAGCCAAGAAGGAAGCCCCGGCUAACUACGUGCCAGCAGCCGCGGUAAUACGUAGGGGGCAAGCGUUGUCCGGAAUGAUUGGGCGUAAAGGGCGCGUAGGCGGCCCGGUAAGUCUGAAGUGAAAGUCCUGCUUUUAAGGUGGGAAUUGCUUUGGAUACUGUCGGGCUUGAGUGCAGGAGAGGUAAGCGGAAUUCCCGGUGUAGCGGUGAAAUGCGUAGAGAUCGGGAGGAACACCAGUGGCGAAGGCGGCUCACUGGACCGUAGUUGACGCUGAGGUGCGAAAGCGUGGGGAGCAAACAGGAUUAGAAACCCGUGUAGUCC